GAUGAACGCUGGCGGCGUGCCUACAUGCAAGUCGAGCGAACGGACGAGAAGCUUGCUUCUCUGAUGUUAGCGGCGGACGGGUGAGUAACACGUGGAUAACCUACCUAUAAGACUGGGAUAACUUCGGGAAACCGGAGCUAAUACCGGAUAAUAUUUUGAACCGCAUGGUUCAAAAGUGAAAGACGGUCUUGCUGUCACUUAUAGAUGGAUCCGCGCUGCAUUAGCUAGUUGGUAAGGUAACGGCUUACCAAGGCAACGAUGCAUAGCCGACCUGAGAGGGUGAUCGGCCACACUGGAACUGAGACACGGUCCAGACUCCUACGGGAGGCAGCAGUAGGGAAUCUUCCGCAAUGGGCGAAAGCCUGACGGAGCAACGCCGCGUGAGUGAUGAAGGUCUUCGGAUCGUAAAACUCUGUUAUUAGGGAAGAACAUAUGUGUAAGUAACUGUGCACAUCUUGACGGUACCUAAUCAGAAAGCCACGGCUAACUACGUG
This 494-nucleotide ribosomal RNA is filed under the name uncultured bacterium. RNAcentral's name for it is "partial 16S ribosomal RNA". It matches the Rfam family "Bacterial small subunit ribosomal RNA", at positions 28 to 507 of the family's 1533-position model. The record is from RNAcentral.